RNAcentral lists this ribosomal RNA (465 nucleotides) under uncultured bacterium. Its description in RNAcentral is "partial 16S ribosomal RNA". It matches the Rfam family "Bacterial small subunit ribosomal RNA", at positions 28 to 507 of the family's 1533-position model. The record is from RNAcentral.
GACGAACGCUGGCGGCGUGCUUAACACAUGCAAGUCGAACGGAAAGGCCCUGCUUGCAGGGUACUCGAGUGGCGAACGGGUGAGUAACACGUGGGUGAUCUGCCCUGCACUUCGGGAUAAGCCUGGGAAACUGGGUCUAAUACCGGAUAGGAGCCAUUUUUAGUGUGAUGGUUGGAAAGUUUUUUCGGUGUAGGAUGAGCUCGCGGCCUAUCAGCUUGUUGGUGGGGUAAUGGCCUACCAAGGCGGCGACGGGUAGCCGGCCUGAGAGGGUGGACGGCCACAUUGGGACUGAGAUACGGCCCAGACUCCUACGGGAGGCAGCAGUGGGGAAUAUUGCACAAUGGGCGCAAGCCUGAUGCAGCGACGCCGCGUGGGGGAUGACGGCCCUCGGGUUGUAAACUCCUUUCGCUAGGGACGAAGCUUUUUGUGACGGUACCUAGAUAAGAAGCACCGGCUAACUACGUG